RNAcentral lists this small RNA (29 nucleotides) under Bombyx mori (domestic silkworm). Its description in RNAcentral is "ovarian small RNA-21844". Lineage: Eukaryota; Metazoa; Arthropoda; Insecta; Lepidoptera; Bombycidae. The record is from RNAcentral.
UAGAAUCAUUUCUGUGCAAUAACUGCAAG